GAGUGUAAUGGUGUUGAUUUUGAGAUUUGGUAGGAGGGUGCUCAGGGAAUGGUUAGUACUUUGCAAUGCACACCAGUCUUACGUACACUUAACUUUCUGAGGGUGAUUCCAUGUUUUUAGACACACUGCAUAUUAUGCUUACCAAUGCAUGAUGUUUCCCUUGAUUAAUGUUCAGAAGAGUCACAAAUAUGUGUUGGAGGAAGUUUAUAAUCUCAAUAGGUUUCCCUCAUCCCACCCUAUGAUGAAAGAUGCGCGCACUAGAGUUUGACGACACCAUGAAGAUGGUGAGAGAGGAAGUGGGUUGUUUUGGUGUGUUCACAUGAUCUGGUACAUCACCUGCUAUAUAUGGAUUAAUCUUGCACAAGCCUCUUAUUAUAUGACUUAACACUUUGGUUCUUGUACAAUUGAAAACCAUUGUUUGUCCUUACAAAUGCGGUGAAGCUCUAGAGGAGAAGAAGGACCACCAGUUUGCAGAUUAAACCACAUCAGACCCUAGGUAUCACCAUCCUCAUAGACUGGGUAUGAACUAGAAAGGAAUUUUCAACAACACUCCUAAGGAAGCUGCGAGGAUUAAAGAUUGCCAAGAAAUUCCAGUUGCUCAUAUUGCCUAUGGCCCAUCAAGUAUUCAGCAAUCGGAACUUGGAAUUAGUCUGCAGACAUAUAUCUAUGUGUCUCCUUUGAAAAUUUAAUAAAUGCAUAUCUCUUUAGGCUUU
This is a long non-coding RNA of Lolium rigidum, 713 nucleotides long. RefSeq lists it as uncharacterized. Lineage: Eukaryota; Viridiplantae; Streptophyta; Magnoliopsida; Poales; Poaceae. The record is from RefSeq and is a predicted model, not a curated record. The transcript has 3 exons.